Long non-coding RNA from Malania oleifera, 689 nucleotides. RefSeq lists it as uncharacterized. The record is from RefSeq and is a predicted model, not a curated record. NCBI's taxonomy places the organism in Eukaryota, Viridiplantae, Streptophyta, Magnoliopsida, Santalales, Ximeniaceae. The transcript has 3 exons.
UGCGGGGAUAGCUCAGUUGGGAGAGCGUCAGACUGAAGAUCUGAAGGUCGCGUGUUCGAUCCACGCUCACCGCAUUUUUAUUUUUCUUCGUAAAUUAGGAUUUUAGCCGAACCACUUCGGAUUCCAUCUUCUUCUCCCAACCACAGAGGGGAACUGCAAACGAUUGACGAUUCCCCUGGUGAAACGUAUUCACGAUUCCAUGGAAAAAAAAGAAUACAAGUGUUCUUUCAAGUAUGUACUACCCCAAUCGAAAGGGACUUAUCUUAGAUGGAGGAGAGAAGAAGAGAAGGAGGGAAGAGAAGAGGAGAAGAAGAGAAAAAAGAGGAAAGAAUUGAGUGGUAGAUUCCUUGAGUAUAUGUACAACUCCAGCUUGAAGACGGGACUCAACAAUGGCUGGCCGACCACUGCCGAGUAAAAAAUGUUUGUAGAUAUGAUGGGCCCGCCACACCCUGAUCCGGACAGUCAGGUGGACGUCUACAACUUUACACUGAAAGUCACAUCGACUAUCCAUCUCCCACCCCCCUAUGGGGCGGUUAACACAAAUCUGAACAUAGUAAUCUGAUCUAUAUAGUUACGAUACUGUGCUCUUGUAACUGAACUGAACUGAACUAUCAUUCGAAUUCUGAUAACAUAUAAUACAUGAUAAUAUAUUUGUCUAACAUAAAUAAAUUGAUAGCAUUUUCUUGAAA